Molecule: unclassified non-coding RNA, 242 nt
Filed under: uncultured fungus
Lineage: Eukaryota; Fungi
Description: sequence contains ITS1, 5.8S rRNA gene
Rfam family: 5.8S ribosomal RNA (bases 194-242)
Source: RNAcentral
UCUCCGUUGGUGAACCAGCGGAGGGAUCAUUAAAGAUUCGGCCCUCGGGCCAACUCUCCAGCUGUGCGCUUUGGCUGCACGCUGUUGAAUCUCACACACCUGUGAACAUUCCGGUUGUGAGUUGCCUUAUGGCUACUCACUUCCGCCUUUACAUCAAACCACAAAGUCUAGAAUGUAAAAACUAUAAAGUAACAACUUUCAACAACGGAUCUCUUGGCUCUCGCAUCGAUGAAGAACGCAGC